GAAGCUGGAUUCGCUAGUAAUCGCGCAUCAGCCACGGCGCGGUGAAUACGUUCCCGGGCCUUGUACACACCGCCCGUCAAGCCAUGGAAGCCGGGAGUGCCUGAAGUACGCGACCGCAAGGAGCGUCCUAAGGUAAAACCGGUGACUGGGGCUAAGUCGUAACAAGGUACC
RNAcentral lists this ribosomal RNA (171 nucleotides) under uncultured bacterium. RNAcentral's name for it is "partial 16S ribosomal RNA". It matches the Rfam family "Bacterial small subunit ribosomal RNA", at positions 1322 to 1500 of the family's 1533-position model. The record is from RNAcentral.